GCCCCCGGGUGGGGGGACACCCCCUGCGGGCUACACCCUUCUCUAUCGGCCGAAGAACGGAGGAAAGUACACGAGAGAGGAUGUUUCCGGAGCCGAUGUUACCGCGGCGGAGAUCCAAGGACUGACGCCUGGUACAGUUUACGAGUUCCUAAUCCAAUCACACAACGCUCAGGGAAGGUCUAACUACACCUCUUCAAGUGCUCAGAUUCCAGUGCCAGGAGUUGUAAAAGAAGUUGCCAGCAGCAGCAGCAGCAGUUACAACAGUCAGCCAGGUGUUCC
Long non-coding RNA from Macrobrachium nipponense, 279 nucleotides. RefSeq lists it as uncharacterized. The transcript is spliced from 3 exons. Lineage: Eukaryota; Metazoa; Arthropoda; Malacostraca; Decapoda; Palaemonidae. The record is from RefSeq and is a predicted model, not a curated record.